RNAcentral lists this ribosomal RNA (456 nucleotides) under Gephyromantis granulatus. Its description in RNAcentral is "partial large subunit ribosomal RNA". It matches the Rfam family "Bacterial large subunit ribosomal RNA", at positions 1942 to 2606 of the family's 2925-position model. The record is from RNAcentral. Lineage: Eukaryota; Metazoa; Chordata; Amphibia; Anura; Mantellidae.
CUAACCGCGCGAAGGUAGCAUAAUCACUUGUCUUUUAAAUAAAGACUCGUAUCAACGGCAUCACGAGGGUUCCGCUGUCUCCUUUCUCUAAUCAGUGAAACUAAUCCCCCCGUGAAGGCUUUAAAUCUAGCUACACCCCCUAACCAUACACCCUCUCACCAACAGGAGUCCUAUAUGCUAGACUUUAGGUUGGGGCGACCACGGAGCACAACCAAACCUCCACGACGAACGAGCCUACCCUCUUACCUAAGAAGCACACUUCUAAGGGUUAGUACCCUAGCACAGCGAUCCGAUAUCGAUCAACGGACUAAGUUACCCUGGGGAUAACAGCGCAAUCCAUUUCAAGAGCCCCUAUCGACAAAUGGGUUUACGACCUCGAUGUUGGAUCAGGGUAUCCUAGUGGUGCAGCAGCUACUAAAGGUUCGUUUGUUCAACGAUUAAAACCCUACGUGAUCU